GACGUAGGAGGCGAGCGUUGUCCGGAUUCAUUGGGCGUAAAGAGCGCGCAGGCGGCUUGGUAAGUCGGAUGUGAAAACCCGAGGCUCAACCUCGGGCGUGCAUCCGAAACUGCUCGGCUAGAGGUAGGUAGGGGAGAUCGGAAUUCCUGGUGUAGCGGUGAAAUGCGCAGAUAUCAGGAGGAACACCGAUGGCGAAGGCAGGUCUCUGGGCCACUACUGACGCUGAUGCACGAAAGCUAGGGGAGCAAACAGG
RNAcentral lists this ribosomal RNA (253 nucleotides) under uncultured bacterium. RNAcentral describes it as "partial 16S ribosomal RNA". It matches the Rfam family "Bacterial small subunit ribosomal RNA", at positions 524 to 776 of the family's 1533-position model. The record is from RNAcentral.